GUAACUACUGGAAACGGUAGCUAAUACCGCAUAACGUCGCAAGACCAAAGAGGGGGACCGUUCGGGCCUCUUGCCAUCAGAUGUGCCCAGAUGGGAUUAGCUAGUAGGUGGGGUAACGGCUCACCUAGGCGACGAUCCCUAGCUGGUCUGAGAGGAUGACCAGCCACACUGGAACUGAGACACGGUCCAGACUCCUACGGGAGGCAGCAUG
RNAcentral lists this ribosomal RNA (211 nucleotides) under uncultured bacterium. RNAcentral describes it as "partial 16S ribosomal RNA". It matches the Rfam family "Bacterial small subunit ribosomal RNA", at positions 143 to 353 of the family's 1533-position model. The record is from RNAcentral.